GACAGAGGGUGCAAACGUUGUUCGGAAUUACUGGGCGUAAAGCGCGUGUAGGCGGCUAAGUAAGUCGGGCGUGAAAUCCCACGGCUCAACCGUGGAAGUGCACUCGAAACUGCAUAGCUAGAGUCCUGGAGAGGAAGGUGGAAUGCUUGGUGUAGAGGUGAAAUUCGUAGAUAUCAAGCGGAACACCGGUGGCGAAGGCGGCUUUCUGGACGACAACUGACGCUGAGACGCGAAAGCGUGGGGAGCAAACAGG
Molecule: ribosomal RNA, 253 nt
Filed under: uncultured bacterium
Lineage: Bacteria
Description: partial 16S ribosomal RNA
Rfam family: Bacterial small subunit ribosomal RNA
Source: RNAcentral